UGGGGAAUAUUGGACAAUGGGCGAAAGCCUGAUCCAGCCAUGCCGCGUGUGUGAAGAAGGUCUUCGGAUUGUAAAGCACUUUAAGUUGAGAGGAAGGGCAGUAAGCGAAUACCUUGCUGUUUUGACGUUACCGACAGAAUAAGCACCGGCUAACUCUGUGCCAGCAGCCGCGGUAAUACAGAGGGUGCAAGCGUUAAUCGGAAUUACUGGGCGUAAAGCGCGCGUAGGUGGUUCGUUAAGUUGAAUGUGAAAGCCCCGGGCUCAACCUGGGAACUGCAUCCAAAACUGGCGAGCUAGAGUAGGGCAGAGGGUGGUGGAAUUUCCUGUGUAGCGGUGAAAUGCGUAGAUAUAGGAAGGAACACCAGUGGCGAAGGCGACCACCUGGGCUCAUACUGACACUGAGGUGCGAAAGCGGGGGGAGCAAACAGG
This 429-nucleotide ribosomal RNA is filed under the name Pseudomonadota bacterium. RNAcentral's name for it is "Proteobacteria bacterium partial 16S ribosomal RNA". It matches the Rfam family "Bacterial small subunit ribosomal RNA", at positions 355 to 776 of the family's 1533-position model. Lineage: Bacteria; Pseudomonadati; Pseudomonadota. The record is from RNAcentral.